RNAcentral lists this ribosomal RNA (253 nucleotides) under uncultured bacterium. RNAcentral describes it as "partial 16S ribosomal RNA". It matches the Rfam family "Bacterial small subunit ribosomal RNA", at positions 524 to 776 of the family's 1533-position model. The record is from RNAcentral.
UACGGAGGGUGCAAGCGUUGUCCGGAUUUAUUGGGUUUAAAGGGUGCGUAGGCGGGAUAUUAAGUCAGUGGUGAAAGCCUUCAGCUCAACUGAAGGACUGCCAAUGAUACUGGUAUUCUGGAGUACAGACGAGGUAGGCGGAAUUUAUGGUGUAGCGGUGAAAUGCAUAGAUACCAUAAAGAACACCGAUAGCGAAGGCAGCUUACCAGGCUGUAACUGACGCUGAGGCAAGAAAGCGUGGGGAGCGAACAGG